Molecule: long non-coding RNA, 2167 nt
Filed under: Marmota monax (woodchuck)
Lineage: Eukaryota; Metazoa; Chordata; Mammalia; Rodentia; Sciuridae
Source: RNAcentral
AGCUUAUUCCAGACCUCUAUGCCAGCUCAAUCUUCUCCAAAUGUGCUCUCAGGACUCCUGAUAUUAUCUUCAUGAAUAGUAUUUAUUUUUUGAUACAUACCUCUCUCUCUCCUCUCCUCUCCUCUCCUCUCCUCUCCUCUCUCUGUCUCAGAUGCUGGAGCUUGAACCCAGGCCCUCAUUCAUGAUAACCAUGUGCUCUACCAUUAAUCUAUCCUUAGCUACACCUCCCAGCCCUCCUUAGCCUCUCUCUUUCUCAUCACAUUUUAUUCCACUGAGGAUAAGAUAGUGACUUCCUUACCAUAGCAUCUAAAGCAACUGCACCCAUACCUGGGAUAUCAUAGGUGGAUAUCUACUGAAUGUAUAAAUGUACUUCGUCCUUACAUUGUAUUAAUGCUGAAGUCAUAAGAAAGGUUGAUUCACCCUAUGGUCUCUGCCUAUAGUAAUUUCAAAUAAGAACAUGGCAAGAAGACAAGCAAAGAAUUAAAAAAAAAUACGGUAUGAUUAAUAGUAAUAAUAGGUGGCAAUAAAUGUUUAGAGAGGUGUCAAAGUGCUUGACGAAAUGAUUGAGAUAAAAUAAAAUCCUUGAAGCUUUUACAUUUUCUCUUUGGUAUUUAAACAGUUCUGGGAAAAGGGUAUUUUGCCCUUGUUCAAGGCAGUGAAUGAUUAAUUUAUCAUCAUUUUUUCCCAAAACUGAAAGUGAUCAUGCCAAAGAGAAGUAUGGCAGAUUGCCUUAUGACUUUCAUCUGGAAGAAGUUUAAAGCUUGUGUUUUCAAUUCACUACUUUUUUUAAAAAUUCAGUUCAUAAUUGAUCACAAUUAAUGUAGGCAGACAUGAGAUUGUAUAGAAAUUUUAUUGCAGCAAAUAGAUUACAAUGUUCCUCCAAGAGGAACAUGAGGAACUACUCUACUUGAAAAAUAUCUAAUGGUGUCUCAUUUAAACUGAUCACCAAGUGAGCUGCUUCCCUUUGCCACACUCUUCUGCCAUUAUGUUCUGCCUCACCUUGAGCCCCAGGGAAUGGAACCAGCCUUCUAUGAAUUAAGACCUCUGAAACUAUGAGUCCUCAAGUAAACUUUUCCCCUUCUGAAUUUUUUUUGAGAAGAUCUUUUAGUCACAGCAGCAAAAGAGCUGACUUAAACAUGUAUGUUGAACCAACUCUGCAUCACAUGUAUGAAUCCCACUUGCUAAUGGUACACUCUUUUUAAUAUGUAUUUUAUGUGCUUUGCCAGAAUUUUAUUGAGAAUUUUUAAUCUAUAUAAAUUAGAGAUAUUUGUCUGAAGUUUUUUUUUCCUUGAUGUGUCUUUGUCUGGUGAUACUAUCUACAUAGAAUGAGUUUGGAAGUGUUCUCUCCUUUUCUAUUUCAUGGAAUAAUUUCAGGAGUAUUGGUGUUAAUUCUUCUUCAAAGGUCUGAUAGAAUUCAGCUGAGAAUCUGUCUAGUCCUGGGCUUUUCUUAGUUUGUAGACUUUUUAAAAUUUUUUAAAUUUGUUUUAAUUAAUUAUACAUGAGAGUAGAAUGCAUUUAUGCACUUUAAUAUAUAAUACAUAGAUGGAAUAUAUUUUUUCAUUUUUCUGAGGGUUCAUGUCACAGAAUUACAUUGAUCAUGCAGUCACAUAUAUACAUAAAGUAAUAAUAUCUCUUUCAUUCUACUAUCCUUCCUAUCCCCACAUUCCUACCCCUUUCCUCCCAUCACUUCCCUCUACCUAAUCUAACUAUUCUCUAGGGCAUCCCACCUCAUUAUGAAUUAGCACCCACAUAUUAGAGAAAACAUUUGGCUUUUUUGGUAUUGGAUUAUUUCACUUAGCAUGAUAUUCUCCAACUCCAUCCAUUUACUGGCAAAUGUCAUAAUUUCAUUCUUCUUUAAAGCUGAGUAAUAUUCCAUUGAAUAUAUAUACUACAUUUUUUUUAACAAUUUAUCUAUUGAAGGACACCUAGGUUGGUUACAUAGUUUAGUCAUUGUGAAUGGAGCUGCUAUAACUGUGAUGUGGCUGCAUUACUGUAGUAUGCUGAUUUUAAGUCUUUGGGGUAUAAACCGAGGAGUGGGAUAGCUGGGUCAAACAGUUGUUCCAUUCCAAGUUUUCUGAGGAAUCUCCAUACUGCUUUCCAUAGUGGUUGUACCAAUUUGCAGCACCACCUGCAAUGUAUGAGUUUACCUUUUUCCCCCACAUCCUCA